GAUGAACGCUGGCGGCGUGCCUAAUACAUGCAAGUCGAGCGAACGGACGAGAAGCUUGCUUCUCUGAUGUUAGCGGCGGACGGGUGAGUAACACGUGGAUAACCUACCUAUAAGACUGGGAUAACUUCGGGAAACCGGAGCUAAUACCGGAUAAUAUUUUGAACCGCAUGGUUCAAAAGUGAAAGACGGUCUUGCUGUCACUUAUAGAUGGAUCCGCGCUGCAUUAGCUAGUUGGUAAGGUAACGGCUUACCAAGGCAACGAUGCAUAGCCGACCUGAGAGGGUGAUCGGCCACACUGGAACUGAGACACGGUCCAGACUCCUACGGGAGGCAGCAGUAGGGAAUCUUCCGCAAUGGGCGAAAGCCUGACGGAGCAACGCCGCGUGAGUGAUGAAGGUCUUCGGAUCGUAAAACUCUGUUAUUAGGGAAGAACAUAUGUGUAAGUAACUGUGCACAUCUUGACGGUACCUAAUCAGAAAGCCACGGCUAACUACGUGCCAGCAGCCGCGGUAAUACGUAGGUGGCAAGCGUUAUCCGGAAUUAUUGGGCGUGAAGCGCGCGUAGGCGGUUUUUUAAGUCUGAUGUGAAAGCCCACGGCUCAACCGUGGAGGGUCAUUGGAAACUGGAAAACUUGAGUGCAGAAGAGGAAAGUGGAAUUCCAUGUGUAGCGGUGAAAUGCGCAGAGAUAUGGAGGAACACCAGUGGCGAAGGCGACUUUCUGGUCUGUAACUGACGCUGAUGUGCGAAAGCGUGGGGAUCAAACAGGAUUAGAUACCCUGGUAGUCCACGCCGUAAACGAUGAGUGCUAAGUGUUAGGGGGUUUCCGCCCCUUAGUGCUGCAGCUAACGCAUUAAGCACUCCGCCUGGGGAGUACGACCGCAAGGUUGAAACUCAAAGGAAUUGACGGGGACCCGCACAAGCGGUGGAGCAUGUGGUUUAAUUCGAAGCAACGCGAAGAACCUUACCAAAUCUUGACAUCCUUUGACGACUCUAGAGAUAGAGCUUUCCCCUUCGGGGGACAAAGUGACAGGUGGUGCAUGGUUGUCGUCAGCUCGUGUCGUGAGAUGUUGGGUUAAGUCCCGCAACGAGCGCAACCCUUAAGCUUAGUUGCCAUCAUUAAGUUGGGCACUCUAAGUUGACUGCCGGUGACAAACCGGAGGAAGGUGGGGAUGACGUCAAAUCAUCAUGCCCCUUAUGAUUUGGGCUACACACGUGCUACAAUGGACAAUACAAAGGGCAGCGAAACCGCGAGGUCAAGCAAAUCCCAUAAAGUUGUUCUCAGUUCGGAUUGUAGUCUGCAACUCGACUACAUGAAGCUGGAAUCGCUAGUAAUCGUAGAUCAGCAUGCUACGGUGAAUACGUUCCCGGGUCU
Molecule: ribosomal RNA, 1372 nt
Filed under: uncultured bacterium
Lineage: Bacteria
Description: bacterial SSU rRNA
Rfam family: Bacterial small subunit ribosomal RNA
Source: RNAcentral